RNAcentral lists this transfer RNA (84 nucleotides) under candidate division WOR-1 bacterium RIFOXYA12_FULL_52_29. Its description in RNAcentral is "tRNA-Leu". It matches the Rfam family "tRNA". Rfam says of the family: Transfer RNA (tRNA) molecules are approximately 80 nucleotides in length. Their secondary structure includes four short double-helical elements and three loops (D, anti-codon, and T loops). RNAcentral also lists the same sequence under 4 other names. Lineage: Bacteria; Bacillati. The record is from RNAcentral.
GCCGCGGUGGCGGAACUGGCAGACGCGCAUGUUUCAGGUACAUGUGGGGUCACACCCGUGGAGGUUCAAUUCCUCUCCGCGGCA